RNAcentral lists this ribosomal RNA (466 nucleotides) under uncultured bacterium. RNAcentral's name for it is "partial 16S ribosomal RNA". It matches the Rfam family "Bacterial small subunit ribosomal RNA", at positions 28 to 507 of the family's 1533-position model. The record is from RNAcentral.
GAUGAACGCUGGCGGCGUGCUUAACACAUGCAAGUCGAACGAUGAAGCCCAGCUUGCUGGGUGGAUUAGUGGCGAACGGGUGAGUAACACGUGAGUAACCUGCCCUUGACUCUGGGAUAAGCGCUGGAAACGGCGUCUAAUACCGGAUACGAGCUUCCACCGCAUGGUGAGUUGCUGGAAAGAAUUUCGGUCAAGGAUGGACUCGCGGCCUAUCAGGUAGUUUGUGAGGUAACGGCUCACCAAGCCGACGACGGGUAGCCGGCCUGAGAGGGUGACCGGCCACACUGGGACUGAGACACGGCCCAGACUCCUACGGGAGGCAGCAGUGGGGAAUAUUGCACAAUGGGCGCAAGCCUGAUGCAGCAACGCCGCGUGAGGGACGAAGGCCUUCGGGUCGUAAACCUCUUUUAGCAGGGAAGAAGCGAAAGUGACGGUACCUGCAGAAAAAGCACCGGCUAACUACGUG